GACGAACGCUGGCGGCGUGCCUAAUACAUGCAAGUUGAGCGCUGAAGGUUGGUACUUGUACCAACUGGAUGAGCAGCGAACGGGUGAGUAACGCGUGGGGAAUCUGCCUUUGAGCGGGGGACAACAUUUGGAAACGAAUGCUAAUACCGCAUAAAAACUUUAAACACAAGUUUUAAGUUUGAAAGAUGCAAUUGCAUCACUCAAAGAUGAUCCCGCGUUGUAUUAGCUAGUUGGUGAGGUAAAGGCUCACCAAGGCGAUGAUACAUAGCCGACCUGAGAGGGGGAUCGGCCACAUUGGGACUGAGACACGGCCCAAACUCCUACGGGAGGCAGCAGUAGGGAAUCUUCGGCAAUGGACGAAAGUCUGAACGAGCAACGCCGCGUGAGUGAAGAAGGGUUUCGGAUCGUAAAACUCUGUUGGUAGAGAAGAACGUUGGUGAGAGUGGAAAGCGCAUCAAGUGACGGUAACUACCCAGAAAGGGACGGCUAACUACGUG
RNAcentral lists this ribosomal RNA (497 nucleotides) under uncultured bacterium. RNAcentral's name for it is "partial 16S ribosomal RNA". It matches the Rfam family "Bacterial small subunit ribosomal RNA", at positions 28 to 507 of the family's 1533-position model. The record is from RNAcentral.